CCUACGGGAGGCAGCAGUGGGGAAUCUUGCACAAUGGGGGAAACCCUGAUGCAGCGACGCCGCGUGAGUGAAGAAGUAUCUCGGUACGUAAAGCUCUAUCAGCAGGGAAGAAAAUGACGGUACCUGACUAAUAAGCCCCGGCUAACUACGUGCCAGCAGCCGCGGUAAUACGUAGGGGGCAAGCGUUAUCCGGAUUGACUGGGUGUAAAGGGAGCGUAGACGGCAGCACAAAUCUGGAGUGAAAGCCCUGGGCUUAACCCGGGAACUGCUUUGGAAACUGGGCGGCUGGAGUGCAGGAGGGGUAAGUGGAACUCCUAGUGUAGCGGUGAAAUGCGUAGAUAUUAGGAGGAACACCGGUGGCGAAGGCGGCUUACUGGACUGUAACUGACGUUGAGGUUCGAAAGCGUGGGGAGCAAACAGGAUUAGAUACCCUAGUAGUC
This 440-nucleotide ribosomal RNA is filed under the name uncultured bacterium. RNAcentral describes it as "partial 16S ribosomal RNA". It matches the Rfam family "Bacterial small subunit ribosomal RNA", at positions 338 to 795 of the family's 1533-position model. The record is from RNAcentral.